This 496-nucleotide ribosomal RNA is filed under the name uncultured bacterium. Its description in RNAcentral is "partial 16S ribosomal RNA". It matches the Rfam family "Bacterial small subunit ribosomal RNA", at positions 28 to 507 of the family's 1533-position model. The record is from RNAcentral.
GACGAACGCUGGCGGCGUGCCUAAUACAUGCAAGUUGAGCGCUGAAGGUUGGUACUUGUACCAACUGGAUGAGCAGCGAACGGGUGAGUAACGCGUGGGGAAUCUGCCUUUGAGCGGGGGACAACAUUUGGAAACGAAUGCUAAUACCGCAUAAAAACUUUAAACACAAGUUUUAAGUUUGAAAGAUGCAAUUGCAUCACUCAAAGAUGAUCCCGCGUUGUAUUAGCUAGUUGGUGGGUAAAGGCUCACCAAGGCGAUGAUACAUAGCCGACCUGAGAGGGUGAUCGGCCACAUUGGGACUGAGACACGGCCCAAACUCCUACGGGAGGCAGCAGUAGGGAAUCUUCGGCAAUGGACGAAAGUCUGACCGAGCAACGCCGCGUGAGUGAAGAAGGUUUUCGGAUCGUAAAACUCUGUUGGUAGAGAAGAACGUUGGUGAGAGUGGAAAGCUCAUCAAGUGACGGUAACUACCCAGAAAGGGACGGCUAACUACGUG